RNAcentral lists this ribosomal RNA (253 nucleotides) under uncultured bacterium. RNAcentral describes it as "partial 16S ribosomal RNA". It matches the Rfam family "Bacterial small subunit ribosomal RNA", at positions 524 to 776 of the family's 1533-position model. The record is from RNAcentral.
UACAGAGGGUGCAAGCGUUGUUCGGAAUUAUUGGGCGUAAAGCGCGUGUAGGCGGCUUAAUAAGUCGGGUGUGAAAGCCCUCGGCUCAACCGAGGAAGUGCGCCCGAAACUGUUUUGCUUGAGUCCCGGAGAGGGUGGCGGAAUUCCCCAAGUAGAGGUGAAAUUCGUAGAUAUGGGGAGGAACACCGGUGGCGAAGGCGGCCACCUGGCCGGAUACUGACGCUGAGACGCGAAAGCGUGGGUAGCAAACAGG